UACGAAGGGGGCUAGCGUUGCUCGGAAUUACUGGGCGUAAAGCGCACGUAGGCGGCUUUCUAAGUCGGGGGUGAAAUCCUGGAGCUCAACUCCAGAACUGCCUUCGAUACUGGAAAGCUCGAGUCCGGGAGAGGUGAGUGGAACUGCGAGUGUAGAGGUGAAAUUCGUAGAUAUUCGCAGGAACACCAGUGGCGAAGGCGGCUCACUGGACCACAACUGACGCUGAGGUGCGAAAGCGUGGGGAGCAAACAGGG
RNAcentral lists this ribosomal RNA (254 nucleotides) under uncultured bacterium. RNAcentral's name for it is "partial 16S ribosomal RNA". It matches the Rfam family "Bacterial small subunit ribosomal RNA", at positions 524 to 777 of the family's 1533-position model. The record is from RNAcentral.